Molecule: long non-coding RNA, 630 nt
Organism: Lotus japonicus
Lineage: Eukaryota; Viridiplantae; Streptophyta; Magnoliopsida; Fabales; Fabaceae
Exons: 3
Source: RefSeq, a predicted model, not a curated record
AGUAGUGUGCAUGGGAAAACGGACCAAAACCACAAGUACAAGCCAUCCUUUGACCUUGGGAGCUGUCCAUAUUCUCAUCAUAGAAGCUUCCCAUCAGAUUUCUGAACCAAAGGGAAGGAAAGGAGAGGACUUUAGAGAGAUAAGUGAGAGAGAGUGAACAUCAUCUUCAUCUUAUCUUCAUCCUUCUUACCAAAAACUGAAAUCUUCAUCAUCUCUAAACACCACCAAGAAAUCAUCUUUUGUCUUCCAUUCCUUGACAAAAGAGUUAGCAUUCAAGGUGAAGAACACCUUGUUCAUUUCAUUACGAGGAGCUAAAGGCUAGGAAGGAAAUCAGACUAGAGGAGUUAAGGAGAAAGCCACCGAUCGAGGAUGAGCAAGAGACCGAUGGACACAGGCGAGGAGACGCCGCAAGGAAAUGAUGUGACGACGAGCUAUCGAUUCAGAGAUUAGCCGUGUGGAGAUUGCGGGGAGCUCGGUGGGCAUAUGAGCCUUUUAGUUUAUUUUCCUUUUGGAGUAUAUGUUGUAAUUAAAUACUUUGAUGUAAGGGUACUAUUAUUGGGUAUUAUUUAUUACUCAUCGUAGAGCAUGUUUUGGAAAGUAUUAGAAAGUAUUAUGUUUCAGAAGGAAAAA